AAUGAAGAUGUCAACUUCUUUUGUGAAAAGCAUGAAAACAUAGGCGGUGAAGGAAACCCGACUGCUAUGCGAUGUCUCUCUCUACUAUCCACCUCUUGAGAAGUUGCAGUUAAGCAAAGUCAAAUUCGGUCAAUUGAGGCGUGAGGAACACAGUGAUUACGGCUCCCGAGUCGCCGACACUGUUGAGCGAACACUGCCAGGGUCAGGGAAACAAAUUCCAGAUCCAAUGGACCACAGAGGGAGGAACCAGUGAGAACCCGGCCGACUGCUACACUGUAGAAUACAGGUCAUCGAACCAGGGCGCGGAUUGGAUUAACUUUGAAGGUGUGGAGAUGACUCAUUGUCACUUGAGGGACCUCCUGUAUGACACAGAUUAUACAGUGCGGGUGAGGGCUGUAAACAGCAGUGGCCACAGUGACUACAGCGACUCAAUCAUACUACGCACUGGCACUCUGCCCAUCCAGUUUGCACUGGACAACAACACUGCUCAUGUCAGUUUGAAGAUUACUGGCAACACAGCGCAGUAUGACAGAG
Long non-coding RNA from Symsagittifera roscoffensis, 534 nucleotides. RefSeq lists it as uncharacterized. NCBI's taxonomy places the organism in Eukaryota, Metazoa, Xenacoelomorpha, Acoela, Convolutidae. The transcript has 4 exons. The record is from RefSeq and is a predicted model, not a curated record.